GGUGCCAUUGUAGUUGUUUCGGCAGCUCGACAGGUGCUAAAAAGACGACCGAACUUGAUCAUUUAGAGGAAGUAA
RNAcentral lists this ribosomal RNA (75 nucleotides) under Litosaccus brisbanensis. RNAcentral describes it as "partial 18S ribosomal RNA". Lineage: Eukaryota; Metazoa; Platyhelminthes; Trematoda; Plagiorchiida; Haploporidae. The record is from RNAcentral.